AGCAGGGUAGAGCAGUCCGGUAGCUCGUUGGGCUCAUGCCCCAAAGGUCGCGGGUUCAAAUCCCGCCCCUGCAA
This 74-nucleotide transfer RNA is filed under the name Phycisphaerae bacterium. RNAcentral's name for it is "tRNA-Met". It matches the Rfam family "tRNA". Rfam says of the family: Transfer RNA (tRNA) molecules are approximately 80 nucleotides in length. Their secondary structure includes four short double-helical elements and three loops (D, anti-codon, and T loops). The record is from RNAcentral. Lineage: Bacteria; Pseudomonadati; Planctomycetota; Phycisphaerae.